AAAUUGAAGAGUUUGAUCAUGGCUCAGAUUGAACGCUGGCGGCAGGCCUAACACAUGCAAGUCGAACGGUAACAGGAAGCAGCUUGCUGCUUCGCUGACGAGUGGCGGACGGGUGAGUAAUGUCUGGGAAGCUGCCUGAUGGAGGGGGAUAACUACUGGAAACGGUAGCUAAUACCGCAUAACGUCGCAAGACCAAAGAGGGGGACCUUCGGGCCUCUUGCCAUCGGAUGUGCCCAGAUGGGAUUAGCUAGUAGGUGGGGUAACGGCUCACCUAGGCGACGAUCCCUAGCUGGUCUGAGAGGAUGACCAGCCACACUGGAACUGAGACACGGUCCAGACUCCUACGGGAGGCAGCAGUGGGGAAUAUUGCACAAUGGGCGCAAGCCUGAUGCAGCCAUGCCGCGUGUAUGAAGAAGGCCUUCGGGUUGUAAAGUACUUUCAGCGGGGAGGAAGGGAGUAAAGUUAAUACCUUUGCUCAUUGACGUUACCCGCAGAAGAAGCACCGGCUAACUCCGUGCCAGCAGCCGCGGUAAUACGGAGGGUGCAAGCGUUAAUCGGAAUUACUGGGCGUAAAGCGCACGCAGGCGGUUUGUUAAGUCAGAUGUGAAAUCCCCGGGCUCAACCUGGGAACUGCAUCUGAUACUGGCAAGCUUGAGUCUCGUAGAGGGGGGUAGAAUUCCAGGUGUAGCGGUGAAAUGCGUAGAGAUCUGGAGGAAUACCGGUGGCGAAGGCGGCCCCCUGGACGAAGACUGACGCUCAGGUGCGAAAGCGUGGGGAGCAAACAGGAUUAGAUACCCUGGUAGUCCACGCCGUAAACGAUGUCGACUUGGAGGUUGUGCCCUUGAGGCGUGGCUUCCGGAGCUAACGCGUUAAGUCGACCGCCUGGGGAGUACGGCCGCAAGGUUAAAACUCAAAUGAAUUGACGGGGGCCCGCACAAGCGGUGGAGCAUGUGGUUUAAUUCGAUGCAACGCGAAGAACCUUACCUGGUCUUGACAUCCACAGAACUUUCCAGAGAUGGAUUGGUGCCUUCGGGAACUGUGAGACAGGUGCUGCAUGGCUGUCGUCAGCUCGUGUUGUGAAAUGUUGGGUUAAGUCCCGCAACGAGCGCAACCCUUAUCCUUUGUUGCCAGCGGUCCGGCCGGGAACUCAAAGGAGACUGCCAGUGAUAAACUGGAGGAAGGUGGGGAUGACGUCAAGUCAUCAUGGCCCUUACGACCAGGGCUACACACGUGCUACAAUGGCGCAUACAAAGAGAAGCGACCUCGCGAGAGCAAGCGGACCUCAUAAAGUGCGUCGUAGUCCGGAUUGGAGUCUGCAACUCGACUCCAUGAAGUCGGAAUCGCUAGUAAUCGUGGAUCAGAAUGCCACGGUGAAUACGUUCCCGGGCCUUGUACACACCGCCCGUCACACCAUGGGAGUGGGUUGCAAAAGAAGUAGGUAGCUUAACCUUCGGGAGGGCGCUUACCACUUUGUGAUUCAUGACUGGGGUGAAGUCGUAACAAGGUAACCGUAGGGGAACCUGCGGUUGGAUCACCUCCUUACCUUAAAGAAGC
This 1554-nucleotide ribosomal RNA is filed under the name Escherichia coli. RNAcentral's name for it is "bacterial SSU rRNA". It matches the Rfam family "Bacterial small subunit ribosomal RNA". Lineage: Bacteria; Pseudomonadati; Pseudomonadota; Gammaproteobacteria; Enterobacterales; Enterobacteriaceae. The record is from RNAcentral.